This 374-nucleotide ribosomal RNA is filed under the name uncultured marine eukaryote. RNAcentral's name for it is "SSU rRNA". It matches the Rfam family "Eukaryotic small subunit ribosomal RNA", at positions 1453 to 1828 of the family's 1831-position model. The record is from RNAcentral.
AUAACAGGUCUGUGAUGCCCUUAGAUGUCCUGGGCCGCACGCGCGCUACAAUGAUACAUGCAACGAGUCCACCUUGCUCGAGAGGGCCUGGGUAAUCUUGUAAAUGUGUAUCGUAUUAGGGAUAGAUUUUUGCAAUUCUGAAUCUUGAACGAGGAAUUCCUAGUAAAUGCGAGUCAUCAGCUCGCGUUGAUUACGUCCCUGCCCUUUGUACACACCGCCCGUCGCACCUACCGAUUGAAUGGUUCGGUGAAAAUUUCGGACUGCGACUCGGAUGCUUUCGGGCAACCGAGCUGUGGAAAGUUGUUUAAACCUCAUCAUUUAGAGGAAGGUGAAGUCGUAACAAGGUUUCCGUAGGUGAACCUGCAGAAGGAUCA